CAACCCUCGAGCCCGACUUUUCGAAGGACGGCUCGGCGUUGAGGGACGGCAGACUCCCCCCGGCAUCUCGCCGGGGACGCCGCCCUCGAAAUCUAGUGGCGGCCCUCCGAGGCGACCUCUGCGUAGUAACUUAACCUCGCCCCGGAAAGCUCAGAGCGGCCACGCCGUAAAACCCCAACUUUUUUCA
Molecule: unclassified non-coding RNA, 187 nt
Filed under: uncultured Ascomycota
Lineage: Eukaryota; Fungi; Ascomycota
Description: sequence contains ITS2
Source: RNAcentral